Molecule: ribosomal RNA, 972 nt
Filed under: Arthrobacter sp.
Lineage: Bacteria; Bacillati; Actinomycetota; Actinomycetes; Micrococcales; Micrococcaceae
Description: bacterial SSU rRNA
Rfam family: Bacterial small subunit ribosomal RNA
Source: RNAcentral
UACCGUAUCGGAUAUUGGGCGUAAGAGCUCGUAGGCGGUUUGUCGCGUCUGCCGUGAAAGUCCGGGGCUCAACUCCGGAUCUGCGGUGGGUACGGGCAGACUAGAGUGAUGUAGGGGAGACUGGAAUUCCUGGUGUAGCGGUGAAAUGCGCAGAUAUCAGGAGGAACACCGAUGGCGAAGGCAGGUCUCUGGGCAUUAACUGACGCUGAGGAGCGAAAGCAUGGGGAGCGAACAGGAUUAGAUACCCUGGUAGUCCAUGCCGUAAACGUUGGGCACUAGGUGUGGGGGACAUUCCACGUUUUCCGCGCCGUAGCUAACGCAUUAAGUGCCCCGCCUGGGGAGUACGGCCGCAAGGCUAAAACUCAAAGGAAUUGACGGGGGCCCGCACAAGCGGCGGAGCAUGCGGAUUAAUUCGAUGCAACGCGAAGAACCUUACCAAGGCUUGACAUGAACCGGUAACGCCUGGAGACAGGUGCCCCGCUUGCGGUCGGUUUACAGGUGGUGCAUGGUUGUCGUCAGCUCGUGUCGUGAGAUGUUGGGUUAAGUCCCGCAACGAGCGCAACCCUCGUUCUAUGUUGCCAGCACGUGAUGGUGGGGACUCAUAGGAGACUGCCGGGGUCAACUCGGAGGAAGGUGGGGACGACGUCAAAUCAUCAUGCCCCUUAUGUCUUGGGCUUCACGCAUGCUACAAUGGCCGGUACAAAGGGUUGCGAUACUGUGAGGUGGAGCUAAUCCCAAAAAGCCGGUCUCAGUUCGGAUUGGGGUCUGCAACUCGACCCCAUGAAGUCGGAGUCGCUAGUAAUCGCAGAUCAGCAACGCUGCGGUGAAUACGUUCCCGGGCCUUGUACACACCGCCCGUCAAGUCACGAAAGUUGGUAACACCCGAAGCCGGUGGCCUAACCCCUUGUGGGAGGGAGCUGUCGAAGUGGGACUGGCGAUUGGGACGAAGUCGUACAGAGGUGUAACCGAAUA